UUACCGAGUGCGGGCCCCUCGGGGCCCAACCUCCCACCCGUGUUGCCCGAACCUAUGUUGCCUCGGCGGGCCCCGCGCCCGCCGACGGCCCCCCUGAACGCUGUCUGAAGUUGCAGUCUGAGACCUAUAACGAAAUUAGUUAAAACUUUCAACAACGGAUCUCUUGGUUCCGGCAUCGAUGAAGAACGCAGCGAAAUGCGAUAACUAAUGUGAAUUGCAGAAUUCAGUGAAUCAUCGAGUCUUUGAACGCACAUUGCGCCCUCUGGUAUUCCGGAGGGCAUGCCUGUCCGAGCGUCAUUGCUGCCCUCAAGCCCGGCUUGUGUGUUGGGCCCCGUCCCCCCCGCCGGGGGGACGGGCCCGAAAGGCAGCGGCGGCACCGCGUCCGGUCCUCGAGCGUAUGGGGCUUCGUCACCCGCUCUAGUAGGCCCGGCCGGCGCCAGCCGACCCCCAACCUUUAAUUAUCUCAGGUUGACCUCGGAUCAGGUAGGGAUACCCGCUGAACUUAAGCAUAUCAA
RNAcentral lists this ribosomal RNA (515 nucleotides) under Penicillium sp. UASWS0350. Its description in RNAcentral is "eukaryotic LSU rRNA". The stretch from base 144 to 297 matches the Rfam family "5.8S ribosomal RNA". Lineage: Eukaryota; Fungi; Ascomycota; Eurotiomycetes; Eurotiales; Aspergillaceae. The record is from RNAcentral.